This 253-nucleotide ribosomal RNA is filed under the name uncultured bacterium. RNAcentral describes it as "partial 16S ribosomal RNA". It matches the Rfam family "Bacterial small subunit ribosomal RNA", at positions 524 to 776 of the family's 1533-position model. The record is from RNAcentral.
UACGUAGGGUGCGAGCGUUAAUCGGAAUUACUGGGCGUAAAGCGUGCGCAGGCGGUUCGUCGUGUCCGAUGUGAAAGCCCCGGGCUCAACCUGGGAAUGGCAUUGGAAACUGGCGGACUCGAGUGUGGCAGAGGGGGGUGGAAUUCCGCGUGUAGCAGUGAAAUGCGUAGAGAUGCGGAGGAACACCGAUGGCGAAGGCAGCCCCCUGGGCUAACACUGACGCCCAGGCACGAAAGCGUGGGGAGCAAACAGG